Molecule: ribosomal RNA, 134 nt
Filed under: Escherichia coli
Lineage: Bacteria; Pseudomonadati; Pseudomonadota; Gammaproteobacteria; Enterobacterales; Enterobacteriaceae
Also listed under: 16 other names
Description: partial 16S ribosomal RNA
Rfam family: Bacterial small subunit ribosomal RNA
Source: RNAcentral
AAAUUGAAGAGUUUGAUCAUGGCUCAGAUUGAACGCUGGCGGCAGGCCUAACACAUGCAAGUCGAACGGUAACAGGAAGCAGCUUGCUGCUUCGCUGACGAGUGGCGGACGGGUGAGUAAUGUCUGGGAAACUG